This 197-nucleotide unclassified non-coding RNA is filed under the name fungal sp. Its description in RNAcentral is "partial internal transcribed spacer region". The stretch from base 1 to 46 matches the Rfam family "Eukaryotic small subunit ribosomal RNA", at positions 1786 to 1831 of the family's 1831-position model. The record is from RNAcentral. Lineage: Eukaryota; Fungi.
AAGUCGUAACAAGGUUUCCGUAGGUGAACCUGCGGAAGGAUCAUUAACAAGUCCACUAUGUAGUUGCCGAUUUGAUUAUGUCAAGUUGGCACGCUAUAUAAGCCCCGUGCAGCAAUGCACGUGUGACACAUUUUAUCGUUUGACCAAAAUAUCAGCAAAAACAGAGAAAACUUUUAACAAUGGAUCUCUAGGCUCUU